Molecule: long non-coding RNA, 1238 nt
Filed under: Haliotis rufescens (red abalone)
Lineage: Eukaryota; Metazoa; Mollusca; Gastropoda; Lepetellida; Haliotidae
Description: uncharacterized LOC125371800
Source: RNAcentral
UAUCAAUCCGCGUGUGAAAAAACACUGUCCACUCACUCCAGCCGCAUUACUCAAUCAACAACGUCUUGCUACGCGUAAAAAUAUAGUUCUGUUAACAAAACUUGAAAGAUCACAUUAUUGCAGUUAUAUUUCUGUCUGAGUUAUACAGCGUACACUAUCUACCAUUGAUAAAAGAAGACAAUUUCCAAAAAAGGUUCAACAGGCUUUUUAAUCAAGGCUUGUUUUGACAAGACCUCUCAUUGACAAGACAAUAGCCGUCGUGCAUCACCAUGGACAUGAAUUUUUACAUUGAGAAGAGGAAACACGGAAAACCUGUCAAUUUUUUCAUGUGUCAUUCGGUAAAAAUGCAAAAACCUGUAUCAACAACAUAGAAGGAAUUUACAGAAGUCAUGUUUGAUUGAGAAAAGUUACGACAAGUAGGUAAACUUUGAAAAAUACGAUUGCUGUCAGUGUCGGAAAGAAUGACCCGACUUGACCCAGAUAUGAGACAGCCGAAACCAGGAAUGACAAGAGAACCGGCGUUACAGUUUAAUCCGGACAACAAGUUUAAUGAACAUCGUUUGUGAUUUGAGACAAGUGUGACUGAUGGGAAACAUGUGCAUGUGGGAUUUUAGGAGGACUUGUCUGAGUCAAACGCGCUUGUGGAGUGGACACAGUCAGAUAACGGGAGUUUGUUGAUAUUUUGAUGUGAUUCAUAAUAUGGUCGAAUACCUGUUGAUAGACUAACACGUACGGUAUCUGGAGACUUGGUGACAAGCUGUCCGCAUUCACGGAGUUCAUUUAGUUCAAUGUCGGACACAGGAUCACCUCGCUGGGUUAUCGAUGUCAUCAUCGUUCACAAAGGCAAACCUGUCUAUACAAAGUCCGGUUUUGGGGAUUCGUGUGGUCGAAAUAUUCGCCAAACAGCAAGUCCUCUAACACAGACGCAAAUCCGGACUUGGUGGUGUUGAGUUUUAGCGCACUAGAAACAGUUUCUGGCAACAUCACAAUCUGAAACUUGGAACUUCAAUCUGGCCAUAUGCAGUUUUGACAACAAAGACAUGAAAUGUGUUCAGAGGUUGAAUUAUGCGAAUAACUCUUCCUGUCAGAUCUCCGUCUACUUUAACGAGGUCAUUUAGUUUGACAGGUGUCAAAUGGUCAGCCAUGUUCGUUUACAAACAAUGCAGACGUAGUUUUGUUUUUUGUAAUUACGCUUAUUGUAAACUAAAACUCGUGCGAAAUAAAUGCUUUAUUCAUUA